RNAcentral lists this ribosomal RNA (253 nucleotides) under uncultured bacterium. RNAcentral's name for it is "partial 16S ribosomal RNA". It matches the Rfam family "Bacterial small subunit ribosomal RNA", at positions 524 to 776 of the family's 1533-position model. The record is from RNAcentral.
GACGUAGGGCGCGAGCGUUGUCCGGAUUUAUUGGGCGUAAAGAGCCCGUAGGCGGCUUGUCGCGUCGUCCGUGAAAACUUGGGGCUCAACCCCAAGCUUGCGGUCGAUACGGGCAGGCUCGAGUUCGGUAGGGGAGACUGGAAUUCCUGGUGUAGCGGUGAAAUGCGCAGAUAUCAGGAGGAACACCGGUGGCGAAGGCGGGUCUCUGGGCCGAUACUGACGCUGAGGAGCGAAAGCGUGGGGAGCGAACAGG